CCAAGCUGAAUUUUGACGUAAUUUCUCUUGAUGUAGCUAGCAGGUGGCAGAGGCGUAUUUGAAAGUCAACAACAUUCUGACAGCGAUUAGAAUGUCCUCCGUCUGCUAGUCUUCUUGAUUCUUAAAUUCUGUGGAGCUCAAAUAGACAAUAAAGCUUUGUGGAACUGAUUAAGUGUUAGCAUAAAUAUCUAGCCUUUGUCAUAUUGAGUCUCCUCAAUAAAUAUUACUCCCUAUUUUUUUAUAUUUUCGUUUUAUAAAGCAGAAAUGAAAUAUUUAUUUUAUUUUUAUGCCACCACAGUAAAUGUACUUAUGGGUUUUACGCCACUCAUAUCCUCACAUGGGCAUUACUGUUUUUCAUAUUUUUAUUUUCUUUUUAGGAUAGUACGAACUUAAUUAACUAAGUAGACUAUUUGAAAUAAUUGAAAGGGAAAUGAUAACUACCAAGUUUACCUCUUGGCAAGGCGUUCGGUAUUUUUAAGUCCUCCGAACGGGACUCUCCGUUUUCUCAAUUGUCCUGAGGUUCGUUGGGUGGCGUAGUCGGUACUUCCGGCGGCGCCUCCUCUUCAUGUAUAGUUAUCUUCUCUUUCCACACCUGACUCGGUGCUACGGUCUCCUCUGGAUAAUUCUGUUUAAACUCUACGUCUUCUGAUCUUACAACUUCUCCUUCAUAGUCUGCCCAUCCGUCCUUGAUGAUUUGCCUCCUCUGGUUGCGAUUGCGUCGUUUUCUGACCUGCUUAGAUUCUUCAACGAUAUAGUUAGGGUCAGUAAAAUAGCGGCGUACCUUCUCUGAGGGGAAGUGCAUAUGGACUUGUUGGUGUUUCCCCCCCGGGGGGUCACACCAACGAGUAAAUUUGUAUGCGUGCUCCCUUUUCCAGAUGGUGAUGCAAAAAGACACAAAGAUUUAUCCUGGUUCGGGCAAGAGAAGGCCCUACGUCCAGCGGGGGGGAGAGUUUGUAUUAGUCUGCACCUAAGUGCUUGUACAGGGGUGAAUACAAGUGUAGGAUGGAUGGAGAUGGAGUAUGGAAGCUACACUGGGCGGGAGUGUUGUAUCGUGUGUAUUCGCUCCCGGGCCUCUCCUUUUAUAGUUCCAAGGAGAGACCUAGGGUACAUGUAUAGGCGUCAGAGUAGGGGUCGAUAGAGGUACGGCGCGCUGACCUACUCGAGGCCUCCGUACCGGCGUGGCCUCGAGCCAUCCCAUCUUGGUGCCUUGAUCAUGAUUACGCGUGCACCUGAAACCCGCUCCUGCGUGCCGUCCUGGACUGACUUGGCUGUUGCAUGCCCGUACGUCGCGGCGGCAGAUAUGUCGGAGUGGUUGUUGUGU
This 1321-nucleotide long non-coding RNA is filed under the name Sorghum bicolor (sorghum). RNAcentral describes it as "long non-coding RNA (SBIC_LNC016049)". Lineage: Eukaryota; Viridiplantae; Streptophyta; Magnoliopsida; Poales; Poaceae. The record is from RNAcentral.